RNAcentral lists this ribosomal RNA (454 nucleotides) under uncultured bacterium. Its description in RNAcentral is "bacterial SSU rRNA". It matches the Rfam family "Bacterial small subunit ribosomal RNA", at positions 340 to 786 of the family's 1533-position model. The record is from RNAcentral.
UACGGAAGGCAGCAGUGGGGAAUAUUGCACAAUGGGCGAAAGCCUGAUGCAGCUAUGCCGCGUGUAUGAAGAAGGCCUUAGGGUUGUAAAGUACUUUCAUCGGGGAGGAAAAACAAAACUAAUAAUUUUAUUUCUUGACGUUACCCGAAAAAGAAGCACCGGCUAACUCCGUGCCAGCAGCCGCGGUAAUACGGAGGGUGCUAGCGUUAAUCAGAAUUACUGGGCGUAAAGAGCACGUAGGUGGUUUUUUAAGUCAGAUGUGAAACCCCUGGGCUUAACCUAGGAACUGCAUUUUGAAACUGAAAUACUAGAGUAUCGUAGAGGGAGGUAGAAUUCUAGGUGUAGCGGUGAAAUGCGUAGAUAUCUGGAGGAAUACCUGUGGCGAAAGCGGCCUCCUAAACGAAUACUGACACUGAGGUGCGAAAGCGUGGGGAGCAAACAGGGAUUAGAUACC